Molecule: ribosomal RNA, 474 nt
Filed under: uncultured bacterium
Lineage: Bacteria
Description: bacterial SSU rRNA
Rfam family: Bacterial small subunit ribosomal RNA
Source: RNAcentral
GAUGAACGCUGGCGGCGUGCUUAACACAUGCAAGUCGAACGGAGGACCCUUGACGGAGUUUUCGGACAACGGAUAGGAAUCCUUAGUGGCGGACGGGUGAGUAACGCGUGAGGAACCUGCCUUGGAGAGGGGAAUAACACAGAGAAAUUUGUGCUAAUACCGCAUGAUGCAGUUGGGUCGCAUGGCUCUGACUGCCAAAGAUUUAUCGCUCUGAGAUGGCCUCGCGUCUGAUUAGCUAGUUGGUAGGGUAACGGCCUACCAAGGCGACGAUCAGUAGCCGGACUGAGAGGUUGACCGGGCCACAUUGGGACUGAGACACGGGCCCAGACUCCUACGGGAGGCAGCAGUGGGGAAUAUUGGGGCAAUGGGCGCAAGCCUGACCCCAGCAACGCCGCGUGAAGGGAAGAAGGCUUUCGGGGUGUAAAACUUCUUUUAUGAGGGACGAAGGAAGUGACGGGUACCUCAUGAAAUAAA